This 502-nucleotide ribosomal RNA is filed under the name uncultured bacterium. RNAcentral's name for it is "partial 16S ribosomal RNA". It matches the Rfam family "Bacterial small subunit ribosomal RNA", at positions 30 to 523 of the family's 1533-position model. The record is from RNAcentral.
AUUGAACGCUGGCGGCAUGCCUUACACAUGCAAGUCGAACGGCAGCACGGGAGCUUGCUCCUGGUGGCGAGUGGCGAACGGGUGAGUAAUACAUCGGAACGUACCCAGGAGUGGGGGAUAACGUAGCGAAAGUUACGCUAAUACCGCAUAUUCUGUGAGCAGGAAAGCGGGGGAUCGCAAGACCUCGCGCUCUUGGAGCGGCCGAUGUCGGAUUAGCUAGUUGGUGAGGUAAAAGCUCACCAAGGCGACGAUCCGUAGCAGGUCUGAGAGGAUGGUCUGCCACACUGGGACUGGGACACGGCCCAGACUCCUACGGGAGGCAGCAGUAGGGAAUUUUGGACGAUGGGGGCAACCCUGUUCCAGCCAUGCCGCGUGAGUGAAGAAGGCCUUCGGGUUGUAAAGCUCUUUCGGCGGGGAAGAAAUGGCAACGGCCAAUAUCCGUUGUUGAUGACGGUACCCGCAUAAGAAGCACCGGCUAACUACGUGCCAGCCGCCGCCGUAA